AAAUAUUUGUGGUUUUUAUAUAAACAUGUAUAUACCGGCUUAUCCAGCACGUUGAAUAUAUUAAUCGACAAAACUGUGUCAUUGUGUAUCCUUAAAUGCUUUAAACGUAUAUAUAUUAAAAGACAAUAGCAAUCAAAACCAAGGAGUAAACAAAGACCCACAAAACCUAAGGACAUUUACAUCAACAGUUAUAAAUAAUAAUUAAGAAACAA
This 212-nucleotide long non-coding RNA is filed under the name Mytilus galloprovincialis (Mediterranean mussel). Lineage: Eukaryota; Metazoa; Mollusca; Bivalvia; Mytilida; Mytilidae. The record is from RNAcentral.